CACACAAUAGCCCUAGACAUACAAAUCUAUAUAUACAUACAACAUUUCAUUUUCAUCCUUACAUACAUACAUCUAACACAUAGAGAUGUAAUCUCCUGCACCAAUUAAGACAGAUGAUGAAAACCAUAGACGAGAAUAUACACACACGAAUCAAGCUUCCAUCCUUUCAGUUCCAUCUGCAAAAUUGUUCAAAUAUUAAUUUCCGUUACAAAAUAAACCAAAAACUGUAACUAACCAACCGUUCUACUAUCAUAACAUAUUGUAUGUUUUAUUUCUUAGGCAGAAACAGAGAAUGACAUUAUAUCGAAACCAAUUAAAAGUACUUUUCUACUAGUUUCCAACACAUGUAUGCAUACAAUGGUUAUGAAGACAACAACAUUUCAAGCCCCUCAUCUUAUGAACAUUUUACUCAACAAAUAUAAUAAUAUUAAUAGAGCUGAAACUUAAACAUGCUCAUUUGAAAUGUUUCCAAAACUAUUUUAUUAACUACGGAUGAACACUAAUUAUAUAUAGUUUAACAAAGAAAAUAAAAUGAUCGGACCAGAAUCUUACCUACAAAGGAUGAUGAUGAUGCCUCUAUCUCUGUGGGGAUGUGAGAGAACUCUAGAGAAGUUUUGACUUGAAAACGAUAGUGGAAGAACAGAUUAGGAAAUGGAAGAAAGAAAAGAAAACAGAGUUUUAGUCAUUUUCAAGAAAUGGGGUUUUGAACUUUGAACGAG
RNAcentral lists this long non-coding RNA (719 nucleotides) under Capsella grandiflora. RNAcentral describes it as "long non-coding RNA (CGRA_LNC000103)". Lineage: Eukaryota; Viridiplantae; Streptophyta; Magnoliopsida; Brassicales; Brassicaceae. The record is from RNAcentral.